GGUGGUACCUCAGUGGUAGAGUGCUUGCCUAGCAUGCGUGAGGAACUGGGUUCGAUCCUCAGAACCA
RNAcentral lists this transfer RNA (67 nucleotides) under Marmota monax (woodchuck). RNAcentral describes it as "tRNA.Ala". The record is from RNAcentral. Lineage: Eukaryota; Metazoa; Chordata; Mammalia; Rodentia; Sciuridae.